UACGAACUGUGCGAACGUUAUUCGGAAUCACUGGGCUUACAGGGUUCGUAGGCGGCUUGUUAAGUUUGGUGUGAAAUCUCCCGGCUCAACUGGGAGGGUGCGCCGAAUACUGAAUGACUAGAGUGCGGGAGAGGUGAGUGGAAUUCCUGGUGUAGCGGUGAAAUGCGUAGAUAUCAGGAGGAACACCGGUGGUGUAGACGGCUCACUGGACCGUAACUGACGCUGAGACACGAAAGCGUGGGUAGCAAACAGG
This 253-nucleotide ribosomal RNA is filed under the name uncultured bacterium. Its description in RNAcentral is "partial 16S ribosomal RNA". It matches the Rfam family "Bacterial small subunit ribosomal RNA", at positions 524 to 776 of the family's 1533-position model. The record is from RNAcentral.